CUUUAAAGCAAGAUCGUGGUCAGGAGCUUCUGUUUCUGGCAAAAUAACAGACUGGCCAUGCAGAGAACUCCUCUUGGAACAAAACACAUAAAAACACCGGAAGCAAUAUUAAUCUCAAAAGCAUUUUUUAAUGCGUGGUAGAGUUGGUGGGAAAGUAGGGAGCAUCUUUAAGGCCAGAACUAAUAUGAAAGCCAUACCAUAUUUUUGAGGUAAGUGGCAAUUUGCAUACUAAUUGUAGCAGGAAACUGAACACUGAUGCUUUUAGAAAAUUAUUAUUUAAAAUUUUAGGUGUGAAUACAGAUAUCGUGGCUAUAUUUUUCAAGUUCAGGAUGUCAUCUCAAGUGGUCCCAGUGGAUAGAGCCCCACAGAGCCUGGCAAAGUAAAGCAACUCUGGAGCGAUGCACUUCGGCUGGAGCCUUCGAAGACGUCCCACUAAUAAAGUCAUACAAGUCACAGAGCCCGUCAGGAAUGGACCACCAGGAGCAAGAGGCAGCAGGCAAGGUCAAAUGCAGCCCCAGAGUCGUACAAACUGCAGACUCUCCGACUGUCAGUUACGAACUACAAAAAGGUCUUCAAAUGCUUAAGGAAACAAAAGAGGAUAGUCGAAGGAUGGCAAAGAAGCAGGAAACUAUCAUAUUUGCAGGCACAUUGGAGAAAAGGACUAAAGAGCAAUUCCAGAAAUAAAAAACUAUAAUCGAAGUUAGAAACUGAACAGGUAGGUUAAACAGCUGAGAAGACAUGUGACUAUUUGGAGACAGAUCAGAAGAAACGACCCACAGAGAAACACAGAGAGAUGAACAGAUGCAAAGGAAAUUAACUCGUGUGGUCCUGGUGGGAAUGUAAAAGGGUGCAGCCACUUUGGAAAUAUAAUCUGGAAGCUCCUCAAAAGGUCAACAUAGGGCUGCCGUAUGACCCAGCAAGUCCACUCCCAGGCAUCUACUCAAGAGAAAUGAAGGCGUGUGUCCACAUAAACUUGCACAUGAAUGUCCACAGCAGCAUUAUUCAUAACAGCCAAAGAGUGGAAACAACUUGCAUGUCCACCAACAGACGAAUGGAUAAGCAAAAUGUGAUUUAUGGCUGCAAUGGAAUAUGAUUUGGCAAUAAAAGGAAGGAAGCACUGACACAUGGUACAACAUGAGCCCCCCGGUACACAGUUGUAUAUUCUUCGUUGUGGGUCCUUCUAGUUGUGGCAUGUGGGACGCUGUCCCAGCGUGGUUCAAUGAGCAGUGCCAUGUCCGCGCC
RNAcentral lists this long non-coding RNA (1242 nucleotides) under Equus caballus (horse). RNAcentral's name for it is "lncRNA (ENSECAG00000043997.1)". The record is from RNAcentral. Lineage: Eukaryota; Metazoa; Chordata; Mammalia; Perissodactyla; Equidae.